Molecule: non-coding RNA, 73 nt
Organism: Ailuropoda melanoleuca (giant panda)
Lineage: Eukaryota; Metazoa; Chordata; Mammalia; Carnivora; Ursidae
Source: Rfam
GCCAGGCUGGCUCAGUCGGUAGAGCAUGUGACUCUUGAUCUCAGGGUAGUGAGUUUGAGCCCCACGUUGGGCG